AGGAGGGGGAAAAGGUCGCUGUUCUUCAGCACCACGAGUCUGUCAAACAGAAGACGUGUGCUUCACAAGCGAUUUCAGAUCACCUUGCCUUUUGACUGCACUUCAGAGAAGAGCGAUGCCAAGCGCUCUCAUGGCCAAAGCGUGUUUUAUUUUUUACUUUUAGAAUGAGCAUUAGACCUUACAUACAGUGGCAUGAAAAGAACAUCUUCCUCCAUAAAAUAUCUAACGCCGCCUAGUGGUUAAAUAGAAGUAUAUAGCUGAUAUUUCGUAGGACUGUUUCAAUUUCUCAGAAUAAGGCGGGUAUGGAAGUUAAUCGGCAUUUUAGAGCGCUCUUUCUAUAGCGAAUGCAGGCAUGAGUGUGGCGCAAAAGGCAAACGCUACAUUCGAAUUAAAACUAUAGAAACAUCGGUGAUGAAAGGAACUGUAGAAUCGAACAAAGACUGAAACUGGCGAGGUUUAUCCCAAAAGUUCGGGAGCACACUGCACAUCAAAAGAUAAGUCAAGACGAUCUCGGAAGGGUAGUGCUUGGCCUUUUUCUUUCCCAUCACUGAAGGUCCACAGAGCCCAACCCAAAGACAGUGGGUCAUCGGCGAAAGGAUCAGUUUGCCUGAAGGGACCAGACAAGGUAUUCUGCCUCAGCGAGAAGGGAUCCGAGAUGUAGGUACCAGACACAGGGAGAGUUUUCCCUGGGAGCAUUGUAUCGCUGUUCUGUGUGCCUUCCUCACAGGGGGAGUCCUUCCGGACACAUAUUUCUGGCCUAAGGGUGCCAAUGCCUGGGAGAACGGCAUGAGGAAGUCCAAACAGAACGUGGACCUGCUGCUCGUGGAUGAACAACAGCAGGGGAAAGGGUGCCUGGGGCCUUGUUUCGAGCAGAUUAGUCCAAUGGAGGAGGGGACAGUGGAGGGCCUGAUAACACUCAGAGAAGCAGAUGUGCUCCGGGUGCUCCCUAAUGAUCUUCCUGCAGCACUUCACGGUAUGACAAAAGUGCUGCAUGGGCACCUGGAUUCCCCUCUGGCAGCACUUCCCGGUGUGGCGGCAGUGGUGUAGUCCAUGGCUCCAGAAUCAUCCAAGUGCCCUCUCGUGUCCCAGUGGAGGUAUUGCCUCUCUCCCGGUCUUCUCAUCCUCCAGGCGUCCCAGCUGGGCAAGAGCCACAGUGUUUAUCUUUUAUAUUACCAGGAUGCCUGUAUACAAGACUGGAAUCAGCACUGGACGGAAUAGUAGUCGAUUGUUUGUUCUUCCACACUUACCUUAAACAUGGAAAAGGCACUAUAUAAAUAAAAUGUAUUAUUAUUAUUAUUAGUAGUAUUACACUUAAAAUCAAACCAGUUUAAGGUCAGCAAAUAUUCUAAUGUGCCCAUCCCCGGGGUGUGGCAGGAAAUUGCUGAAAUUACUCUCUUGGUUUGUCUCUGAAAAUUACAGAGGUGUUAGCAUUCAAUGCACGUCUGAAAACCCAUCUUUUGCCUCUUGCAUUUCAUAUCAGCUAGACAUGUGGUUAUUUUAUGUUGAAACUGACUCUUCUAUGUCAGUCUUACUGAUGUUGACUUUGCUAUGCGGUUUCUCAGUUCUUGCUGUCAAUCUACUAUUAUAAAAGUUCAGUUCACGUUUACUUUUGUAGGUCUUCCCAGGGUUUGCUUCUUUGUGCCUUAUCAUGAAUUUGAAAUAUCAUCUUGGUUUGAAUUGUGUUCUUGUGUACUUUGUAAUUCUGUGCUCUGUGAAAGGUGUUAAACAAAAUAAAGUUUGAC
Long non-coding RNA from Polypterus senegalus (gray bichir), 1742 nucleotides. RefSeq lists it as uncharacterized. The record is from RefSeq and is a predicted model, not a curated record. The transcript has 3 exons. Lineage: Eukaryota; Metazoa; Chordata; Cladistia; Polypteriformes; Polypteridae.